GAGUUUUUAUUCUCAUACAACCUUAUUCCCAAAAAAUUACAAUAGCUCCCGCGGUUCCCGUUCCCGUGGUGAUUGGUCGUACAAGCUUGCUCACCUAUGGAGAUUGACGAGGACCACAAACAAAAGUAGCAACAACAACAACAGCUGAGAUCGAGGUCGAAAAACUUUUUCUAGCGACACAUCCUUCUGUUGACUGAUAUAUAAUCAUUCAUUCUACUCGAACGGAUCAAAGCUAGGGGAAGCAGGGGGACACAGAGGACUGCUAUCAAUAAACUUGGUGAAUGUGAAGCAUUUCAAGGCAGUCCAAGUUAAGCGGAGUGGGCGGCGUAUUGUGGAACCCACUUAGGGCAUAAAAAGGAAUACGCAGUUAACAUUGUCAAAUAACCGGAAUUUUCAGUAAUUAUUUGACUGUUUUAUGUGUCUGUGAAUAUGAAAUUUUGAAUCAGUUUAUUGAGCAAAAAGUGUGUAAUAGUUAAAUACGUUUUUUACCUUAUAAUAAAAUUAUUUUGUGAAUAA
Molecule: long non-coding RNA, 516 nt
Organism: Stomoxys calcitrans (stable fly)
Lineage: Eukaryota; Metazoa; Arthropoda; Insecta; Diptera; Muscidae
Exons: 2
Source: RefSeq, a predicted model, not a curated record